UGGUUUAGUUGGUAAACCAUGGUGCUUGCAACACCAAGGUUGUGGAUUCGAUUCCCAC
RNAcentral lists this transfer RNA (58 nucleotides) under Salmo salar (Atlantic salmon). It matches the Rfam family "tRNA", at positions 8 to 63 of the family's 71-position model. Rfam says of the family: Transfer RNA (tRNA) molecules are approximately 80 nucleotides in length. Their secondary structure includes four short double-helical elements and three loops (D, anti-codon, and T loops). The record is from Rfam by way of RNAcentral. Lineage: Eukaryota; Metazoa; Chordata; Actinopteri; Salmoniformes; Salmonidae.